AGUGAACGCUGGCGGUAGGCCUAACACAUGCAAGUCGAACGGCAGCACAGUAAGCGCUUGCUCUUACGGGUGGCGAGUGGCGGACGAGUGAGGAAUACAUCGGAAUCUACUUUUUCGUGGGGGAUAACGUAGGGAAACUUACGCUAAUACCGCAUACGACCUACGGGUGAAAGCAGGGGAUCUUCGGACCUUGCGCGAUUGAAUGAGCCGAUGUCGGAUUAGCUAGUUGGCGGGGUAAAGGCCCACCAAGGCGACGAUCCGUAGCUGGUCUGAGAGGAUGAUCAGCCACACUGGAACUGAGACACGGUCCAGACUCCUACGGGAGGCAGCAGUGGGGAAUAUUGGACAAUGGGCGCAAGCCUGAUCCAGCCAUACCGCGUGGGUGAAGAAGGCCUUCGGGUUGUAAAGCCCUUUUGUUGGGAAAGAAAAGCAGCAGGUUAAUACCCCGCUGUUCUGACGGUACCCAAAGAAUAAGCACCGGCUAACUUCGUG
Molecule: ribosomal RNA, 492 nt
Filed under: uncultured bacterium
Lineage: Bacteria
Description: partial 16S ribosomal RNA
Rfam family: Bacterial small subunit ribosomal RNA
Source: RNAcentral